CCUACGGGAGGCAGCAGUGAGGAAUAUUGGUCAAUGGGCGGGAGCCUGAACCAGCCAAGUCGCGUGAGGGAAGAAGGUACUGAGUAUUGUAAACCUCUUUUGCCAGGGGACAAAGGCGGCCACGGGUGGCCGUAAGCGGGUACCUGGAGAAAAAGCAUCGGCUAACUCCGUGCCAGCAGCCGCGGUAAUACGGAGGAUGCGAGCGUUAUCCGGAUUUAUUGGGCUUAAAGGGUGAGCAGGCGGCGUGUCAAGUCAGCGGUAAAAGGGCGGUGCUCAAACCCGGCCGGCAGUUGAAACUGGAGUGCUCGAGUUGGAGAGAGGUAUGCGGAAUUCGUGGUGUAGCGGUGAAAUGCAUAGAUAUCACGAAGAACCCCGAUUGCGAAGGCAGCAUACCGGCUCCACACUGACGCUGAGGCACGAAAGCGUGGGUAUCGAACAGGAUUAGAUACCCCUGUAGUC
RNAcentral lists this ribosomal RNA (459 nucleotides) under uncultured bacterium. RNAcentral's name for it is "partial 16S ribosomal RNA". It matches the Rfam family "Bacterial small subunit ribosomal RNA", at positions 338 to 795 of the family's 1533-position model. The record is from RNAcentral.